Molecule: ribosomal RNA, 253 nt
Filed under: uncultured bacterium
Lineage: Bacteria
Description: partial 16S ribosomal RNA
Rfam family: Bacterial small subunit ribosomal RNA
Source: RNAcentral
UACGUAGGUGGCAAGCGUUAUCCGGAUUUACUGGGUGUAAAGGGCGUGUAGGCGGGAGAGCAAGUCAGACGUGAAAUUCCAGGGCUCAACCCUGGAACUGCGUUUGAAACUGUUCUUCUUGAGUGAUGGAGAGGCAGGCGGAAUUCCGUGUGUAGCGGUGAAAUGCGUAGAUAUACGGAGGAGCACCAGUGGCGAAGGCGGCCUGCUGGACAUUAACUGACGCUGAGGCGCGAAAGCGUGGGGAGCAAACAGG